Molecule: ribosomal RNA, 344 nt
Filed under: bacterium enrichment culture DGGE band TBA-2
Lineage: Bacteria
Description: bacterial SSU rRNA
Rfam family: Bacterial small subunit ribosomal RNA
Source: RNAcentral
ACGGUACCGUAAGAAUAAGCACCGGCUAACUACGUGCCAGCAGCCGCGGUAAUACGUAGGGUGCGAGCGUUAAUCGGAAUUACUGGGCGUAAAGCGUGCGCAGGCGGUUAUGUAAGACAGUUGUGAAAUCCCCGGGCUCAACCUGGGAAUUGCAUCUGUGACUGCAUAGCUAGAGUACGGUAGAGGGGGAUGGAAUUCCGCGUGUAGCAGUGAAAUGCGUAGAUAUGCGGAGGAACACCGAUGGCGAAGGCAAUCCCCUGGACCUGUACUGACGCUCAUGCACGAAAGCGUGGGGAGCAAACAGGAUUAGAUACCCUGGUAGUCCACGCCCUAAACGAUGUCAA